GUUGGCAGAAAGACCCUCUGGAAAUGAAGCCUGUGGUAGCUCCUUAAGUCACUGGGAACUUGCCCAUGGCAGAUGUGGUCAGAUUUAUUGCUCCCCAUUUCGAAGAUGGGAAUGGAGGCACAGUUGUCCCGUCACUCACUCAUUGGUGUGGCGGGGAAGAGACCCAAGGUCAUGUGAGGGGCAGAAGGUCUGCUCCAGACAGCCUGUGAUCUCAACCACUAGACUUAAGAAAAACAUGAAGAUGGGCCUGAAGGUCUAAGCCAGAUGGAGUUCCAGCACUGAGAGGGGAAGUGGACACAACCCCCCUUCCCUAACCAAGAUGCGAUCUCCAGUGACAACUGCUCAAAAAGAAAAUUUUUUCUCCAUCCAAGUCUCACAUUAAAGGACAAGCCCCAUUCGCAGCACUAGAUGACCAACGCAAAACGGAGUAUUUGGGCAGGAUUUUUUCGUCUAACAAUGCUUUCUCUGGACAAUUUUUAUUACCUUGCAGGACUUUUAUUUAUAUAUCAUGGUUUCCAAUUUUGUGUUUUUUAUGGGAUUUCUGUAUGUGUUUCUGAUUCUGUUGUGGU
Long non-coding RNA from Peromyscus eremicus (cactus mouse), 569 nucleotides. RefSeq lists it as uncharacterized. The record is from RefSeq and is a predicted model, not a curated record. The transcript is spliced from 3 exons. NCBI's taxonomy places the organism in Eukaryota, Metazoa, Chordata, Mammalia, Rodentia, Cricetidae.